GGUAGGGUUUUGCCUUCUUCUGACCUUACAAAGGGCCAGCCCAAAGCAGUAAACCCAGCUGGCUGAUGUGCAGCGCAUGUGCAUGGCUGAGCUGUUCUGAGCACUGAUAUAGCUGCUCCUCUCCUUGUAAAUUAAAGAAGACGUGGAAAUUACAUGAAAUGGAGUAGUGAUACACGAGGUAAUUCCAUAACUCUCCGGUCAACUUCUCAAGAUUUCCUGUUUGACAGCUGGGAGAAGGGAAGCUCCCCAUCCCCGGUGGGGUCUUUGCUCCAUCUCAGCGACCGCCCCAAUCCCGACGGAUGGUGGGGAGAGCAUCCACACUCCCCGCCAUCCAUUGGGAAUAGGGUGGUCGCUGAGGCGGUGGAGAUGGCAAAGGGACCAGUCGGAGCUGAUGGAUGGUUGGACCUGGCAGAUUCAUAAUCCAGAACCCGAUGCAGCUGCGAGGAAACUAAUGGCUAGCAGGGACCGCGUCGGUCCCCGAGCUAAUACCUGUCUCCUCCAUCACAAAUUGAUGGCAUUAAACAAAAAAGUUGACUCCUUUUCA
Pezoporus occidentalis (night parrot) is the source of this 544-nucleotide long non-coding RNA. RefSeq lists it as uncharacterized. The record is from RefSeq and is a predicted model, not a curated record. NCBI's taxonomy places the organism in Eukaryota, Metazoa, Chordata, Aves, Psittaciformes, Psittacidae. The transcript has 2 exons.